This 404-nucleotide ribosomal RNA is filed under the name uncultured prokaryote. RNAcentral describes it as "bacterial SSU rRNA". It matches the Rfam family "Bacterial small subunit ribosomal RNA", at positions 355 to 776 of the family's 1533-position model. The record is from RNAcentral.
UGGGGAAUAUUGCACAAUGGGGGAAACCCUGAUGCAGCAACGCCGCGUGAGUGAUGACGGCCUUCGGGUUGUAAAGCUCUGUCUUCAGGGACGAUAAUGACGGUACCUGAGGAGGAAGCCACGGCUAACUACGUGCCAGCAGCCGCGGUAAUACGUAGGGGGCAAGCGUUAUCCGGAUUUACUGGGUGUAAAGGGAGCGUAGGUGGUAUGGUAAGUCAGGUGUGAAAGCCCGGGGCUCAACUCCGGGAUUGCAUUUGAAACUACCAAACUAGAGUGCAGGAGAGGUAAGUGGAAUUCCUAGUGUAGCGGUGAAAUGCGUAGAUAUUAGGAGGAACACCAGUGGCGAAGGCGGCUUUCUGGACUGUAACUGACACUGAGGCAUGAAAGCGUGGGUAGCAAACAGG